AUGGAGAUGAAGAUGGCCGUCGGCGCGGCCAACUGGCUCGUCGGCAAGGUGCUGACCAAGCUGUCCGACGAGCUGGUGUCCGCCUACAUGGACAGCUCCGAGCUCGGCAGCAACUUCCUGAACGCCAAGCACCAGCUGCAGUACACCCAGGGGCUGCUGUCCGCGUCCGUGGGCAGGGACGUGAGCGACGACCCCGGCCUGCACGGACUGCUGGGGGAACUGAGCAACAAGGCCGACGAGGCCGAGGACGUGCUCGAUGAGCUCCACUACUUCAUGAUCCAGGACGAGAUCGAUGGCACCAAGGAGGCUGCUGUGGAGGUGGGCGGCGGCAUCAAGGGUCACUCCAUCCAUGGACGCCAUGUUGCUCGCUACACCCUCGGCAACUGCCUUCCAUGCUUUUCAUCUCCGCGCACUCUAGGUGAUGAUCAUCCUCCUGCCGUUGCUGCUGCGGAGGUGGGCAGCAGCAGCCAUGUUUCUCGCUACACCCUCGGUAGCUGCAUUCCAUGCUUCUCAUCUCCGCGCACUCAAGGUGAUGAUCCUCCUCCUGCGGCUUCUGCUGCGGAGGUGGGCGGCCGCAGUCAUGUUUCUCACUACACCCUCGGUAGCUGCCUCCCGUGCUUCUCAUCUCCGCGCACUCAAGGUGACGAUCCUCCUGCAGUUUCUGAUGCUGCUGCCACCAGUAAGCCACAUAGUGAAGACAUGUCCAGUACCAACAGUGAUAUGAUGAUGAUGAUGAUGAUGAUGAGUACUGAUGAUGAUGAUGAUGAUGAUGAUGUUGAUGACGAUGUUGAUAUUAAGUUGCCAUUUAACAGAGUAGCCAUGUCCAAGAAAAUCAAGUCUGUCAUAGAGGAGAUGAACUCCAUCUGCCAGCUUGUCUCUGACCUGCUCAAAACUGCAAGCACAAAUGUCACGAUUGAAAGGCCUCCAACUGGUUCAGUAGUUCCACGAGAUAGAAAACUGUAUGGAAGGAGUGACAUUUUUGAGCAAACUGUAAAUUCACUCACCAAUGGCACAUUUCGUGAUAAAACCCACACUGUCCUGCCUUUCAUUGGCCCCGGGGGCAUCGGAAAGACAACCUUCACACAGCACCUGUACAAUGAUGAAAGAAUCAAGGGUCACUUCCCCGUCAGGGUCUGGGUGUGUGUCUCAACUAAUUUCGAUGUGAUUAGGCUCACCAGGGAGAUACUUGGCUGCAUACCUGCAACAGCUAACACAAGCACAACUGAACCAACAAACUUAGACCAACUUCAGAAAGCCAUUGCAGAGAGACUGGACUCCAGAAGGUUCUUAAUUGUGUUGGAUGAUAUGUGGACUUGCAAGAGUGCGCGUGAUUGGGAAAACCUAUUAGCCCCAUUCACAAUUGGGGAAACCAAGGGCAACAUGGUUCUUGUCACAACUCGAUUGCCAUCUGUAGCACACAUGGUCAAAACAACUGAUCCGGUACAAGUGCAUGGUUUAGAGCCUGAUGACUUCUUUGCACUGUUUGAAGCAUGUAUAUUUGGUCACAACAAACCCAGGCUUUAUGAUGAUGACUUAGUUAAUGUUGCAAGAGAUAUUGCAAAGAAACUCAAGGGUUCACCAUUGGCAGCAAAUACAGUUGGUCGGUUGUUGAAGAAAAACAUCUCUUGGGAAUAUUGGAUGGGAAUUCUUGAAAAUAAUGAAUGGCAAAGUGCAAAAAAUGAUGAUGAUAUUUUGCCAUCUCUGCAAAUCAGCUAUAAUUACCUUCCUUUCCAUCUGCAGAAAUGUUUUUUUUAUUGUGCCCUCUUCCCAGAGGAUUACAAGUUUUAUGAUUUGGAAAAAAUAACUAAUUUCUGGAUGGCAAUGGGUAUUGUAGACUCAAAUUGCCAAAAUGACAAGAAUUACUUAGACGAACUAGUGGACAAUGGUUUUCUCAUUAAGGAUAGUGAUGCUGAUGGUGAAUACUAUGUGAUGCAUGAUUUAUUGCAUGAACUAUCUCGGAAUGUUUCAUCACAAGAGUGUCUAAAUAUAAGUAGUUUAAGUUUCAGAGUCAACGGCAUCCCACAAUCUAUUCGGCACUUAUCAAUCACCGUAGAAGACUAUUAUGAUGAAAGUUUUGGUCAAGAAAUAUGUAAACUGGAGAGUCUUAUAGACAUUGGAAAUUUGCGGACUUUGAUGGUUUUUGGAUCACAUCAUUCAGAAAUAUGUGAUUUUCUGGGACGUGCAUUUGAAGGAAUAAAGAGUCUCCGGGUUCUAUUUAUACCUAGCUUUCCAAAAGAUUUGCCAAAGAGCUUUUCACAUCUUAUCCACCUCCAAUACCUUAAACUCAUGCCACCUUCUGAUGAGGACCAUUGGAGAUAUCCACCUGGAAAAUUACCAAGAUUUUACCACUUGAAAUUCUUGGACAUCUAUGGUUGGCGGCACCCUUUUAUAAUUUCCCCUAAAAUCAUUAGCCGCCUUGUAAGUUUGCGCCAUAUCUAUACUUCCACAGAAUUCCGUUCUCUUAUCCCUGAGAUCGGAAAGAUGAAGUGGUUACAGGAGCUAAGACAAUUUCGUGUUAAGAGGGAAAGUGUUGGGUUUGAACUGAGCCAGCUGGGGGAAUUGACAGAGCUUGGGCAGCUUGUUAUAUGUAAUCUUGAAACCGUGGCAUCCAAAAAAGAAGCUGAUGAUGCUAAAUUGAAGGAUAAAAGAAAUCUGAAAGAAUUGGAAUUAGUUUGGGGUGCAGAUGGUGAUGUUACAGAUGGUGAUGUUCUUGAGGGUCUUCAACCACCCCCUAAUCUUAGAGGGCUUGGCAUUAGAAAUUAUGGUUUUGCCGCUGGUCCUAGCUGGUUGUGCAGUGACAUUAGCAUAAAAAGGCUGGAGUCUCUACAUCUGGAGGGUAUAUCGUGGGACACUCUUCCACCUUUUGAGCAGCUACCACACCUCACCAACCUCAAACUGGGGAAUAUUGCUGGGAUGCGUGUGUUUGGGCCUGGAUUUGUUGGUCUUACAGAGAGAAGUUUUAUGCACCUGAAGACAGUUCAGAUUAUGGAUAUGCCAGAACUUGAGGAAUGGGUUGGGGGACCCAAUAGCCCUUCGUUUUCAAGGCUUGAAAGCAUUAAUUGCUGGUGUUGCCCCCUUCUGUUCUCGUUUUCCUUCUUGGAGUGUUGUACCAACCUCUGUCAACUUUGUGUUGCUAAUUGCCCAAAUUUGUCACAGUUGCCCCCUCUGCCUCAUACUUCUACACUGACAGAGUUUUCUGUGAACAAAGAGAUAUUCAGUGGCUUGGCGUAUGAUGGAAAGCGGUUGUCUGCUGAGCACUAUGAGGGUGCGUUGGCCUUGCAUCAUAUGGAUAAAGUAGAGUCUAUAGAAAUUCGUUGCUCACCACAAGUUUCAUUGUCAGUGUCGGACCUCCAAAAGAUGAAGUCCCUGAGAGAACUAACUGCCAUAUGUUGCGCCAGCAUAUUCAAUCCAGUCGUCGUCGAGGAAUUGGCAGCCCAUGACAAGUCUUUGGACGAAGAAAAUAUCUCUGUAGCGACAGAUCUGAUCCCAGAGGUGGCAAUGAGCAAAUCUUUGCACCCAGAUUCAUUCAAACUGGAAGAAAUGACGGUGGAUAACAUCUCGGAAGUGCUUACUGCUCCCAUUUGCAGACGCCUUGCCGCUACCCUUCACACAUUAGCGUUCUGUAAUGAUGAGGUGACUGAAACCUUCACGGAAGAGCAAGAGCAAGCGCUUUAUCUUCUCACCUCCCUCCAAAGCCUAGAAUUUUCAAGGUGCAAACUGCAGUCUCUCGGCUAUAUGGCCUUUCUUCUCUCAAGGAAUUGA
Molecule: ribosomal RNA, 3762 nt
Filed under: Triticum aestivum (bread wheat)
Lineage: Eukaryota; Viridiplantae; Streptophyta; Magnoliopsida; Poales; Poaceae
Description: partial small subunit ribosomal RNA
Source: RNAcentral